UGGGGAAUAUUGCACAAUGGGGGAAACCCUGAUGCAGCAACGCCGCGUGCGGGAUGACGGCCUUCGGGUUGUAAACCGCUUUCAGCCAUGACGAAGCUUUUGUGACGGUAGUGGCAGAAGAAGCACCGGCUAACUACGUGCCAGCAGCCGCGGUGAUACGUAGGGUGCGAGCGUUGUCCGGAAUUAUUGGGCGUAAAGGGCUUGUAGGCGGUUUGUCGCGUCGAAAGUGUAAACUCAGUGCUUAACGCUGAGCCUGCUUUCGAUACGGGCUGACUAGAGGAAGGUAGGGGAGAAUGGAAUUCCCGGUGGAGCGGUGGAAUGCGCAGAGAUCGGGAGGAACACCAGUGGCGAAGGCGGUUCUCUGGACCUUUCCUGACGCUGAGAAGCGAAAGCGUGGGUAGCAAACAGG
RNAcentral lists this ribosomal RNA (409 nucleotides) under bacterium. RNAcentral's name for it is "partial 16S ribosomal RNA". It matches the Rfam family "Bacterial small subunit ribosomal RNA", at positions 355 to 776 of the family's 1533-position model. The record is from RNAcentral.